Veillonella parvula DSM 2008 is the source of this 162-nucleotide non-coding RNA. The record is from Rfam. NCBI's taxonomy places the organism in Bacteria, Bacillati, Bacillota, Negativicutes, Veillonellales, Veillonellaceae.
UAAAGGCGAAUAGCGCAAGUACCCACGAAGGCAGUCGUUAGGGUAGACGAGGUGAAGAGUGAUCGAGUCAUCAGCGGAUGCUCUUCCGGCAUAUUCAUGUCGUAACAGGUAUUAAAAAGCCCAUCGGUAACGAUGGGGACAAAGUAUAUCUGAAUGAAUUGU